GGAUGGAUCAUUACCAAAGAUUUUUACAAGUCUUGUGAACUGUUUUGAACUACACUGUUGGGGUGACAUAAUUACGUUCACCUCAACGGUAAUACACGUAUAUACCCCUAAACUGACGUCUACUUUAGUAGUAAAUCAAACUAAAGACAACUUUUAGCAACGGAUCUCUUGGCUCUCGCAACGAUGAAGAACGCAGCGAAAUGCGAUAAGUAAUGUGAAUUGCAUGCACCGUGAAUCAUCAAAUCUUUGAACGCACAUUGCACUGCCUGGAAUUCCGGGCAGUAUACCUGUUUGAGUAUCAGUAACACUCUGCAUUGGGUCGUCCUUGAAAAGACGCUCGUGUAGGAUUUGAGCUACCGUUCUCGCGAGAGAGCGCUGCUUUAAAUUUAUUUGAGGUUCCCGAGCUGUUGUAGCUUGGCGCGACUGACAGAGUUAAUAGGUUUUCGGACCUUGAUCCUGGUGGAAGCGUCAGUUGGCAGGCACGGAAGAAACUCAUUAAACUUGAACCGUACGGGGGGCAAUACCAGAUGUUAAAGUCAGGUAAAGUCGGCCCGUGAACAUGAUCUCAAAUCAGGUAAGAUUACCCGCUGAACUUAAGCAUAUUAAUAAGCGGAGGAAAAGAAACUAACAAGGAUUCCCCUAGUAAUGGCGAAUGAAGCGGGAACAGCUCAAAUUUAAAAUCUCCUCGGAGAAUUGUAGUUUAAAGAAGUGCUUUCGCUGGUAGUCCGGGUACAAGUCCCUUGGAAUAGGGUAUCAUAGAGGGUGAGAAUCCCGUCUUUGAUCCGGAUACUACCGCAAUGUGAUGCACUCUCAAAGAGUCGGGUUGUUUGGGAAUGCAGCCCUAAGUAGGUGGUAUAUUUCAUCUAAAGCUAAAUACAGGCGAGAGACCGAUAGCGAACAAGUACCGUGAGGGAAAGAUGAAAAGAACUUUGAAAAGAGAGUUAAACAGUACGUGAAAUUGCUAAAAGGGAAACGCUUGAAAUCAGUGUUGGCGUGUGGAAAUCAGCUGCUUAGCGAUAGGCGGUGCACUUUCCAUACGCCAGGUCAACAUCAGUUUUGGUUUGGGUAAACUAGCGCGGGAAGGUGACUCCUCUCGGGGAGUGUUAUAGCCCGCGUGACUGCCUGGACUGGGACUGAGGACUGCAGCGCAUGCCAUUUGGCUGGCGAACCGUGUACUACUUGUAUGCGCCAGGUAGACAGCUUGCUGACUGCCGGGUGAACGCAGGUACUUGCGCGGCUAGCACAUAUGCGCUAAGGAUGUUGACGAAAUGGUUUUAAGCGACCCGUCUUGAAACACGGACCAAGGAGUCUAACACAUAUGCGAGUAUUUGGGUGUCAAGCCCAUAUGCGUAAUGAAAGUAAAGUAGGUGGGAUCCCGCAAGGGUGCACCAUCGACCGGUCUUGACCUUUUGAGAUAGAUCUGAGUAAGAGCACAUGUGUUAGGACCCGAGAGAAGGUGAACUAUGCCUGAAUAGGGCGAAGCCAGAGGAAACUCUGGUGGAGGCUCGUAGCGGUACUGACGUGCAAAUCGUUCGUCAAAUUUGGGUAUAGGGGCGAAAGACUAAUCGAACCUUCUAUUAGCUGGUUCCCUC
Molecule: unclassified non-coding RNA, 1592 nt
Filed under: uncultured fungus
Lineage: Eukaryota; Fungi
Description: sequence contains 18S rRNA gene, ITS1, 5.8S rRNA gene, ITS2, 28S rRNA gene
Rfam family: Eukaryotic large subunit ribosomal RNA (bases 561-1592)
Source: RNAcentral